GUGGCGAACGGGUGAGUAACACGUGAGUAACCUGCCCUGGACUCUGGGAUAAGCGUUGGAAACGACGUCUAAUACCGGAUAGGACCCUGGACCGCAUGGUUUGGGGUGGAAAGUUUUUUCGGUCUGGGAUGGACUCGCGGCCUAUCAGCUUGUUGGUGAGGUAAUGGCUCACCAAGGCGUCGACGGGUAGCCGGCCUGAGAGGGUGACCGGCCACACUGGGACUGAGACACGGCCCAGACUCCUACGGGAGGCAGCAGUGGGGAAUAUUGCACAAUGGGCGAAAGCCUGAUGCAGCAACGCCGCGUGCGGGAUGACGGCCUUCGGGUUGUAAACCGCUUUUAGUAAGGAAGAAGGGGAGCUUGCUCCUUGACGGUACUUGCAGAAAAAGGACCGGCUAACUACGUGCCAGCAGCCGCGGUAAUACGUAGGGUCCGAGCGUUGUCCGGAAUUAUUGGGCGUAAAGAGCUCGUAGGCGGUUUGUCGCGUCUGCUGUGAAAUCUGGAGGCUCAACCUCCAGCCUGCAGUGGGUACGGGCAGACUAGAGUGCGGUAGGGGAGAAUGGAAUUCCUGGUGUAGCGGUGGAAUGCGCAGAUAUCAGGAGGAACACCGAUGGCGAAGGCAGUUCUCUGGGCCGUAACUGACGCUGAGGAGCGAAAGCGUGGGGAGCGAACAGGAUUAGAUACCCUGGUAGUCCACGCCGUAAACGUUGGGCGCUAGAUGUGGGGACCUUUCCACGGUUUCCGUGUCGUAGCUAACGCA
RNAcentral lists this ribosomal RNA (760 nucleotides) under Agromyces sp. RNAcentral's name for it is "bacterial SSU rRNA". It matches the Rfam family "Bacterial small subunit ribosomal RNA", at positions 95 to 859 of the family's 1533-position model. The record is from RNAcentral. Lineage: Bacteria; Bacillati; Actinomycetota; Actinomycetes; Micrococcales; Microbacteriaceae.